AAACAUAGGUCUGAACAGGUGGCU
Molecule: non-coding RNA, 24 nt
Filed under: Cricetulus griseus (Chinese hamster)
Lineage: Eukaryota; Metazoa; Chordata; Mammalia; Rodentia; Cricetidae
Source: RNAcentral